Molecule: ribosomal RNA, 253 nt
Filed under: uncultured bacterium
Lineage: Bacteria
Description: partial 16S ribosomal RNA
Rfam family: Bacterial small subunit ribosomal RNA
Source: RNAcentral
UACGAAGGGGGCAAGCGUUACUCGGAAUUACUGGGCGUAAAGCGUGCGUAGGUGGUUUCUUAAGUCUGCUGUGAAAGCCCCGGGCUCAACCUGGGAAUUGCAGUGGAUACUGGGGAGCUAGAGUGCGGUAGAGGGUAGUGGAAUUCCCGGUGUAGCGGUGAAAUGCGUAGAGAUCGGGAGGAACACCAGUGGCGAAGGCGGCUACCUGGACCAGCACUGACACUGAGGCACGAAAGCGUGGGGAGCAAACAGG